Molecule: transfer RNA, 69 nt
Filed under: Richardsonius balteatus (redside shiner)
Lineage: Eukaryota; Metazoa; Chordata; Actinopteri; Cypriniformes; Leuciscidae
Also listed under: 1 other name
Description: tRNA-Arg
Rfam family: tRNA
About the family: Transfer RNA (tRNA) molecules are approximately 80 nucleotides in length. Their secondary structure includes four short double-helical elements and three loops (D, anti-codon, and T loops).
Source: RNAcentral
AGAGGGCUAGUCCAAAAAAGACCUCUGAUUUCGGCUCAGAAAAUUGUGGUUAAAGUCCACGGCCCCCUU